Molecule: ribosomal RNA, 497 nt
Filed under: uncultured bacterium
Lineage: Bacteria
Description: partial 16S ribosomal RNA
Rfam family: Bacterial small subunit ribosomal RNA
Source: RNAcentral
GAUGAACGCUGGCGGCGUGCCUAAUACAUGCAAGUCGAGCGGACAGACGAGGAGCUUGCUCCUCUGACGUUAGCGGCGGACGGGUGAGUAACACGUGGAUAACCUACCUAUAAGACUGGGAUAACUUCGGGAAACCGGAGCUAAUACCGGAUAAUAUAUUGAACCGCAUGGUUCAAUAGUGAAAGACGGUUUUGCUGUCACUUAUAGAUGGAUCCGCGCCGCAUUAGCUAGUUGGUAAGGUAACGGCUUACCAAGGCAACGAUGCGUAGCCGACCUGAGAGGGUGAUCGGCCACACUGGAACUGAGACACGGUCCCGACUCCUACGGGAGGCAGCAGUAGGGAAUCUUCCGCAAUGGGCGAAAGCCUGACGGAGCAACGCCGCGUGAGUGAUGAAGGUCUUCGGAUCGUAAAACUCUGUUAUUAGGGAAGAACAAAUGUGUAAGUAACUAUGCACGUCUUGACGGUACCUAAUCAGAAAGCCACGGCUAACUACGUG